This 1425-nucleotide unclassified non-coding RNA is filed under the name Hevea brasiliensis (rubber tree). Lineage: Eukaryota; Viridiplantae; Streptophyta; Magnoliopsida; Malpighiales; Euphorbiaceae. The record is from RNAcentral.
CAUUGGGCAAAGUGAGAGUGAGAACGAGAAAAGAAAAAUCAGAAUGUUACAGUUCCCGGCGUAUAUGACGCAGUACCCAUGGUCAACGAGGACGAUUCCGACUUCAUGUCUGCUACCGUCACAAUGGCCUCAACCUUACAGCGAAGAGCUCCUCCUUGCCAUGGAGGAAUCCGAUUUCGAAGAGAAGUUCUUAUGCAACAACUUCCAUAUGCAAGCCCCCUCCUCAUAGUUUCAUCUAGUUAUUCGUCAGGAAAAACAGCAAGUAUGAUUUUUAUACUUUGAGAAAUGGAACAAGCUAGAAAGAGUGGAUGGUGAUGUAUUCAACUCAUUCUUUAGCAUGUAGUUUGGUAUUUAAUUUUAAUUCUUGUCCAUAAUGGAAACUGGAAAAGGAGCUUGUGUUUUAAGGUUUGUACUAGCAAGGAUGUAGAUGUUCUGAGCUGUGAUGCAAUUGUUUAACUGGAGAAUCUUGGUUGUAUGUGGAAGUUUUAGGGUGCCAUUGGAAGCCUUAUUGUUCAAGCAGUUUCAUAAUUGAGAAAGCACUGCUAUUGUGGCCUUCAUGUUGAUGUUUUGGUAGUCUAAAAAAUAACAAAUGAAGACAGAUUUUGGUUCUUUUGUCUUCCAGUCAGAUAUUUGGACCAUCGUGGUCUAUCAGAUAAGGAAAAAAUUGAUCUGGGAUUUAGCAGAGAUUGCAUGGUUAUUUAUUCCCAAUUAAAGUUGUUUGUGUCUUUGUUAGGUCCUUUAAUUUCUCCAUGAAACUACGAAGACCAUGUCCUAAGAUGAGCAACUCUCUCUCUCACACACAUUCAUGAAUAAUUUUUGAAGCUAUAAUUUAUUUGUAUUUGUAUAAAUGAGAAUCUGAUUUUUAUUAUUUGACAUAGGGUAGCUUCAAAUUUUGUCUUCCUAAUCGAUUGUAUUAUGGACAUGUCUGAGUGUGCGUUCUCAUGUGCACCCAUGCACACGUAUUUUCUCAUGUGUAUGAUAUUAGGAAUUUCAGUCUGCAUUUGUGCCCCGAUUAUUUUUCCACCUUUUUCCCUUUUGAUGACUUACUGUACAAUGUUUGCAGUGCAAUGAAAUCAGAAAGACAAACAGCAACCUCCCGGUGAUUGGGAAAACUACUGUUGAUAAUGAUAAAGAAGACUAUGAUAAUGAUGCUGACGAUGAUGAUGCUGAUAAUGCAGAGGAAUCUGAAGGCGAAGAAUUUGUUGAGCAAGAAACUGGCUGAAUGUAGUUAACUUUUUUUUCUCUGAUACCAUCUUAAGAAUUUGAGCAAGAAAUUGGCCUUAGUUUUUCGAAAGUUUUAUCGUACUGCCCAUUUAUGUUCAAUAGAGGCUGUUUUGACCUUACCAAUUGAAUUAAUCUCAAUUUAUAUAUUUAAAUCUCUUGUACUUUAAUUUGAUAAAUAAUAAAGCUAUUAUAAGCGGUAAU